This 69-nucleotide transfer RNA is filed under the name Ovis aries (sheep). It matches the Rfam family "tRNA". Rfam says of the family: Transfer RNA (tRNA) molecules are approximately 80 nucleotides in length. The record is from Rfam by way of RNAcentral. Lineage: Eukaryota; Metazoa; Chordata; Mammalia; Artiodactyla; Bovidae.
CCUGAUGGCUUAGGUGGUAAAGAAUCUGCCUCCAAUGCAGGAGACCUGGGUUUGAUCCCUGGGUCAGGA